UACGUAGGGUGCGAGCGUUGUCCGGAAUUAUUGGGCGUAAAGAGCUCGUAGGCGGUUUGUUGCGUCGGCUGUGAAAUCCCGAGGCUCCAACCUCGGGUCUGCAGUCGAUACGAGCAAACUAGAGUGGUUGCAGGGGAGACUGGAAGUUCCUGGUGAUAGCGGUGAAAUGCGCAGAUAUCAGGAGGAACACCGGUGGCGAAGGCGGGUCUCUGGGCCGAUACUGACGCUGGGAGGCGACGGAAAGCCUAGGGGAGCAAACGGG
This 262-nucleotide ribosomal RNA is filed under the name uncultured bacterium. RNAcentral's name for it is "partial 16S ribosomal RNA". It matches the Rfam family "Bacterial small subunit ribosomal RNA", at positions 524 to 776 of the family's 1533-position model. The record is from RNAcentral.